GUUGCCAGCAUUAGUUGGGCACUCUAAGGGGACGUGCCGGUGAUAAGCCGAGAGGAAGUGGGGAUGACGUCAAGUCCUCAUGGCCCUUACGGGCUGGGCUACACACGUGCUACAAUGGUGGUGACAGUGGGCAGCGAGCACGCGAGUGUGAGCUAAUCUCCAAAAGCCAUCUCAGUUCGGAUUGCACUCUGCAACUCGAGUGCAUGAAGUUGGAAUCGCUAGUAAUCGCGGAUCAGCAUGCCGCGGUGAAUACGUUCCCGGGCCUU
Molecule: ribosomal RNA, 266 nt
Filed under: uncultured Rhizobiaceae bacterium
Lineage: Bacteria; Pseudomonadati; Pseudomonadota; Alphaproteobacteria; Hyphomicrobiales; Rhizobiaceae
Description: partial 16S ribosomal RNA
Rfam family: Bacterial small subunit ribosomal RNA
Source: RNAcentral